UACGGGGGGGGUAAGCGUUGUUCGGAAUUACUGGGCGUAAAGGGCUCGUAGGCGGCCAACUAAGUCAUACGUGAAAUCCCUCAGCUUAACUGGGGAACUGCGUGUGAUACUGGAUGGCUUGGAUUUGGGAGAGGGAUGCGGAAUUCCAGGUGUAGCGGUGAAAUGCGUAGAUAUCAGGAGGAACACCGGUGGUGUAGACGGCUCUCUGGACCGUAACUGACGCUGAGACACGAAAGCGUGGGUAGCAAACAGG
Molecule: ribosomal RNA, 253 nt
Filed under: uncultured bacterium
Lineage: Bacteria
Description: partial 16S ribosomal RNA
Rfam family: Bacterial small subunit ribosomal RNA
Source: RNAcentral